Non-coding RNA from Vibrio splendidus, 104 nucleotides. The record is from Rfam. Lineage: Bacteria; Pseudomonadati; Pseudomonadota; Gammaproteobacteria; Vibrionales; Vibrionaceae.
GCGGUUUGAACGCUCUUUGGUCAGUGUUAAACAGAUUAAGCCACGGCCAUACAUCGCCAUGAAGUUAAUCGCUUCUGGCGUAACAUGUUCAGCUGCCAUGAUCA